GUGAACGCUGGCGGUAGGCCUAACACAUGCAAGUCGAACGGCAGCACAGUAAGAGCUUGCUCUUACGGGUGGCGAGUGGCGGACGGGUGAGGAAUACAUCGGAAUCUACUUUUUCGUGGGGGAUAACGUAGGGAAACUUACGCUAAUGCCGCAUACGACCUACGGGUGAAAGCCGGGGAUCUUCGGACCUUGCGCGAUUGAAUGAGCCGAUGUCGGAUUAGCUAGUUGGCGGGGUAAAGGCCCACCAAGGCGACGAUCCGUAGCUGGUCUGAGAGGAUGAUCAGCCACACUGGAACUGAGACACGGUCCAGACUCCUACGGGAGGCAGCAGUGGGGAAUAUUGGACAAUGGGCGCAAGCCUGAUCCAGCCAUACCGCGUGGGUGAAGAAGGCCUUCGGGUUGUAAAGCCCUUUUGUUGGGAAAGAAAAGCAGCAGGUUAAUACCCCGCUGUUCUGACGGUACCCAAAGAAUAAGCACCGGCUAACUUCGUG
RNAcentral lists this ribosomal RNA (491 nucleotides) under uncultured bacterium. RNAcentral describes it as "partial 16S ribosomal RNA". It matches the Rfam family "Bacterial small subunit ribosomal RNA", at positions 29 to 507 of the family's 1533-position model. The record is from RNAcentral.